RNAcentral lists this long non-coding RNA (459 nucleotides) under Daphnia pulicaria. Its description in RNAcentral is "uncharacterized LOC124335780, transcript variant X3". Lineage: Eukaryota; Metazoa; Arthropoda; Branchiopoda; Diplostraca; Daphniidae. The record is from RNAcentral.
UGUUCUGCUUAUGCUCAACUUUGGUCAUUGACUCAUUGUUCGAAAACGCUCUGCUGUCUCGUUGUUUCCUGUGAUUGGAUAAAGUUAGUUCAUUUUUAAUGAACAUUACAGCCAGUGAUUAGUCCUGGUGAAGUCCAUGCUUCUUCAUUGCAGUCCAAUGUGCAUAUGAAUUUGUUACGACCAACUGGCGAAAGGUGUUCCUCUUGCAGGCUCACUACCUGUACCGAGUGUACUGGUUGUAUCUUUUGUCACAUGCAGAAACACUAAAGAACACUUUAAAGAUUAACAGCCGAGUCUGGUGAAUCUGAGCUUCUUUGUUGCAUACCAGUCUGUUCAUGGAUUUAUUGCAGCCAGCUGUGUGAAAGGUAACUUUCUAACUGUACUGUCUGUGAAUUGUGUCACAUUCAUUAACUCUUCAGAACUGCUAGGACCUGUCACAUCCCAAGUCCUCAUAGAACU